UUAGGAUUUAGUGUUGUGGAUUCAUUUAUUUAUUGUUGGUAUCAAUUUUUGUGACUUGCAGAAUCAUUAGUUAUUUUGAUUAUCAAUUGACGGUUGGUGUUUCUCUUGAGGCAUUGUUGCUUUAUCCACCAAAAACAGCACCCUACAAAAUAGUGCAAGAGUGCUGAAUUGAUGUUUUUUGUUGAAUGUUUAAAAUUCACCCCUUACUCAGGACACACCCAGGAAAUAGCACAAGUGUGCUGAAUUAAUGUUUAUUGUGUUGAAUAUUUAAGAUUCACCCCUUUUAUUACACUUUCAUGGUAGUGGAUUGAAAUGUGCACACCAGACUCACCAGAUUAUCACUAGUGGUUGGAAAUGUGAACAUUUAUGAUGUGUACUUUUGUAAUGUGUUUGCACAUUAGGAAAUAAAACCAAGCCUCAUUGUCCAAUCAAGUUAUAACAUAGUAGAAAUAGGCAUAGCUUUAGAAGAAUCAGAAUUUUUCCUAAUGUAACUGUUUAAAUCAUGCAAGUGUUUUUUUCUUUACAAACUUUAAGAAGAUAUUAUAUCAAUGUCAAUGAGACAAAAACAUAAAAAAAAAAUUAAUCAGAAAUAUGAACUGAAAAGACUUGUAUUGUGUGUAUUAUGGUUACUCAUUGCAUUCCUUUUUAGGGGAUUCAUAGGGAGUUACUUAACAAAUAAUUUUAUAGCAAUUCCAUGUAAUCCUUAGAAUAAAACACUUUUUUCUAUAGCACAAGAAUUGAUACCUUCAUAGUUGACAAAUAAGUUGAAUAAAGAAUUAAGCAACGGAUAAUUUUUAGAAUUAUCCAAAAUAUGCAGCCAUUGGAACAUUUUGGAGGGAAACCCAUGUACAUUAGUACUCCCAGGGAUUUUCAUUUUUAUUCAUUCACUGUUAGAUAGGUAAAACAUCUAAUUUGAACGAAGAUUUCUUCAUGAUUUUUGUUUGAAUGAAAGCAUUUCUAUUUAACCUCACAUUUGAAUUGUAAAUCAUUUAUUGUCUUGUGCAUUUGAUUUGAAAAAAAUAUACACAGAACAGGUCCUAGAAUUUUAUAUGUGUUUGUGAAUGAAAUUGAUGCCAUUAUUUUCAUAGGAAUGUCUGUAUCUUUUAUUGUACAUUAAAAAGUUGUGUUAUCAUCUUGGAUCUGUGCCAACAUUUUCAUGAUAUUUUUGUGUGUAUAUAAUAGAUUGAAUAUACCUGAUCUUGUUGAUUUUAUCUCAAUUAGAAAAUGAGCAUUGGUUUGAUAUCAAUAUGAAGAAAUCUGAUGAAAUACUAAGAAAAUUAGGGUCAGGCACAAUGUACGGUAUUCAAAACAAAAAGUA
Molecule: long non-coding RNA, 1318 nt
Filed under: Mytilus galloprovincialis (Mediterranean mussel)
Lineage: Eukaryota; Metazoa; Mollusca; Bivalvia; Mytilida; Mytilidae
Source: RNAcentral